CAAUAAAAACAAAGACAUUUAAUAACACUAGGUUUAAAAACCCCAAAAUAAACAAAAACAAAUUUACAAAAUAUCAACAAAUCAAAUAUUUUUUUUCUUAAUUUUAAUACAAAUUUAAUAAGCUGUGAUUGAGUGCUUUUAUUGUGUGUUUUUGUAGUUUUUUUAUUAAUAUAAUUUUUUGUUAAAAAAAUAAAUAUUUAAAAUAAAAAACAAUUUAUUAAAAAAGGUGAUAACAAUUUGCCUAAAAACACAAUAACAAAAAAACCUAACAAAAGUUUAAAAAACAAAAAAAAAAGAGACGAAACCGAAGCUGAAGAUGAAAUAAUAUAUUUAAAGAGAAAUACAUACAAAAAAUAUUAAUCAACAACAAUAAAAACAACAAAUUGUGAAAAAAAGUUUUAACUUUUAAAAAUUUAUUUUCCCUACUUUUAUAAAUGACCUUAUUCUGCUGGAGUAUAAUGAGUUUAUAAAUUUUUCUUCUUUAUAUCUUAAGAAGAGGAAGACUUGUUUCUUUUCAUAAGCAGCAUAUUCAUGUUGGAGGCCAGUCGGUCUUCUCAUCAACCAUAUGGUUGAUGGUACUGGUAGUUGUGGUGCUGGUGGUCUUUGGUCUAAUUGAAAUGUCAUUUAAACAAAAUUCAUCUUGUACUUGUACCACUAAGAGUAGAAGUACAGUAGCAGACUUCGAUGAACUGUGCUUUCAACGUUUUGACCUUCCUAGAGAAAGUUACACAAUUUUUAUUUGCUGUUGGUUUUUUGUUACUUUUCUUUUUGUUCACUUUGUGGAAAAAAAGUUUUAAAUCAUUUCAAGACAAAUAAAAACAAGUUGAAAGUACUUUAUACGGUUUAAGCGUACCAAAACUGAGAAAAAGUAUUAAACUGUUGUAUAUUAUUUACACGAGUAUUAUUUUAUUUAAACUUGUGAUUUCCCUGCUAGAAAUACAGUAAAGGGCAAAAUUGUUUAAAUUAUGAUUUAAAUUAGAUAUUGAUAAUUUAGUAAUAGAAUACUUUUUUUCAGUACUUUUUAGCAAUGGACUUUGGAAUGGGUUAGUGAAUAAACUACUCAAUAUCCGAGUGAAAAGACUAGUUCAAUAGACUUACCCAUAGAUAAUAGACUAAUCCAUAGAUAAACCAAUAAACUAGUCCAUAGUCCAGUCAGUAGAGUGAUCCAUAGACUAGUCAUAAAAACCUGCCCAUAGACCAGUACACCAGUUCUAGAAUAUUCAGAAGACUGGCCCAUAGACUAGUCAAUAUCUGGUCAAUAGAAUUGUCAAUAGAGUGGUCCAUAGACUAGUCAGUACACUUGUCUGUAGACUGGUCUAUAGUCAAUAGACCGUUUAAUAGAUAAUAAUAAACUGGCCCAUAGACUAAAGAUUGGUCAAUUGAGUAAUCAAUAGACUGAUCCAAAUACUAGUCAGUAAACAUGUCCAUAGACUAGUCAGUAUAAUAGUUCAUAGACUAGGCAAUAGACUGGAUCAUAGACUAGUCAGUAGAGCAGUUCAUAAACUAU
Molecule: long non-coding RNA, 1507 nt
Organism: Lucilia cuprina (Australian sheep blowfly)
Lineage: Eukaryota; Metazoa; Arthropoda; Insecta; Diptera; Calliphoridae
Exons: 3
Source: RefSeq, a predicted model, not a curated record